CCUACGGGGGACAGCAGUGAGGAAUAUUGGUCAAUGGGCGGGAGCCUGAACCAGCCAAGUCGCGUGAGGGAAGACGGUCCUAUGGAUUGUAAACCUCUUUAGGCGGGGAGCAAAGCCGGGCACGUGUGCCCGGAGGGAGAGUACCCGCAGAAUAAGCAUCGGCUAAGUCCGGGCCAGCAGCCGCGGUAAUACGGGGGAUGCGAGCGUUAUCCGGAUUUAUUGGGGUUAAAGGUUGCGUAGGGGGAUUUUUAAGUCAGCGGUAAAAUGUCCGGGCUCAACCCGGGCCUGCCGUUGAAACUGGAGGUCUUGAGUGGGCGAGAAGUAUGCGGAAUGCGUGGUGUAGCGGUGAAAUGCAUAGAGAUCACGCAGAACUCCGAUUGCGAAGGCAGCAUACCGGCGCCCGACUGACGCUGAGGCACGAAAGCGUGGGGAUCGAACAGGAUUAGAUACCCCUGUAGUC
RNAcentral lists this ribosomal RNA (460 nucleotides) under uncultured bacterium. Its description in RNAcentral is "partial 16S ribosomal RNA". It matches the Rfam family "Bacterial small subunit ribosomal RNA", at positions 338 to 795 of the family's 1533-position model. The record is from RNAcentral.